RNAcentral lists this unclassified non-coding RNA (348 nucleotides) under soil metagenome. RNAcentral describes it as "partial contains 5.8S ribosomal RNA, internal transcribed spacer 2, and large subunit ribosomal RNA". The stretch from base 5 to 119 matches the Rfam family "5.8S ribosomal RNA", at positions 40 to 154 of the family's 154-position model. The record is from RNAcentral.
GAUGAGAACGUAGCGAAAUGCGAUAAGUAAUGUGAAUUGCAGAAUUCAGUGAAUCAUCGAAUCUUUGAACGCACAUUGCGCCCGCCAGUAUUCUGGCGGGCAUGCCUGUCCGAGCGUCAUUUCAACCCUCGAACCCCUCCGGGGGGUCGGCGUUGGGGAUCGGCCCCUCACCGGGCCGCCCCCGAAAUCCAGUGGCGGUCUCGCCGCAGCCUCUCCUGCGCAGUAGUUUGCACACUCGCACCGGGAGCGCGGCGCGGCCACAGCCGUAAAACACCCCAAACUCUGAAAUGUUGACCUCGGAUCAGGUAGGAAUACCCGCUGAACUUAAGCAUAUCAAUAAGCGGAGGA